GACGAACGCUGGCGGCGUGCUUAACACAUGCAAGUCGAACGGAAAGGCCCUGCUUUUGUGGGGUGCUCGAGUGGCGAACGGGUGAGUAACACGUGAGUAACCUGCCCUUGACUUUGGGAUAACUUCAGGAAACUGGGGCUAAUACCGGAUAGGAGCUCCUGCUGCAUGGUGGGGGUUGGAAAGUUUCGGCGGUUGGGGAUGGACUCGCGGCUUAUCAGCUUGUUGGUGGGGUAGUGGCUUACCAAGGCUUUGACGGGUAGCCGGCCUGAGAGGGUGACCGGCACAUUUGGGCCUGGGUUACGGCCAGACUCCUACGGGAGGCAGCAGUGGGGAAUAUUGCACAAUGGGCGGAAGCCUGAUGCAGCAACGCCGCGUGCGGGAUGACGGCCUUCGGGUUGUAAACCGCUUUCGCCUGUGACGAAGCGUGAGUGACGGUAAUGGGUAAAGAAGCACCGGCUAACUACGUG
RNAcentral lists this ribosomal RNA (467 nucleotides) under uncultured bacterium. RNAcentral's name for it is "partial 16S ribosomal RNA". It matches the Rfam family "Bacterial small subunit ribosomal RNA", at positions 28 to 507 of the family's 1533-position model. The record is from RNAcentral.